UUCCAGAGUGUUGGCUGUGACACAAGGGCUACCAUCACUGAAUGCCCACUGUGUGCCCUGCACUGUGCUAAUGGUAAUAAUAACUGUGUUCAUUGAGCACUCACCAGGCACCAGGCUCUGCUUCUCAGAGGUUUUAUUAUUUAAUCCUCCCAGUAACCCAGGGAGGGAGGUGUUACCAUUUCUGUUUACAGGGAGAUUAAAACACAUGCUCCAAGUCACACAGCUGGAAAGUGGCCAAGUCAGAUUCGAAUCCACAGCUGACUGCCUAGCCUCAGAGCCUGCUCUCUCCUCCAUCACACUGGGCUGCUUUCCUUGGACAGGGAUGGAGGGGUCUGGAGGGCAACCCAGGCACCCGGCAAGCACCGGGGAACUGCCAGGCCCCUCGCCCCUUUGUGCUGAGGAAACUGAGGCUCGAAGAUACUCAGCUGCAGCCCCCAUCAGGCCCACACCCUGGCAGGAGCCCGCUCACCUGUAGCCUCGAUUCCCUGCGCGACGGGUUUUGCAGUCUCGGAAGAGUCUCCGCCCCCUGGCCCUCGACUCCACCGAGGAAGGACCACAUCACUCCCACGGUGCAGGUUCCCCCAUACAAAACUGAGCUCGGGGGACUGGGAGAAACCCCAAAGGAGAGCGGAGGUCAGGACUGUGGGGGGGGAAAUCCCUGGUCCGCGACAGCUACGCCGCCCCGCCUGGACUCGGGGUCCCUUGCCAGCCCCGUCUGCCGGAACUAGGCCGCCACCGGCCCGGCCACUGAGGUUCCUGACCCCCGCGCGGGCGCCACCUGCCGACAAAAGGCCAAGGCCACAGGGGCCGUUCUGCUUACGACGCCGUGGUGCCUGGGGCGGGGAGCCGGCAUGCCGGAGAAGCUCGCCUCGGCGCGCCUAUUGGCUGAAGGCGAUGCCCGUCCGGGCCCCGAGGCCCGGCAAUUGGCUGGUGGGGGCGGAGUUCGCGGAGCCCCAAUGAAUGGGGGGGAGCCGGAAGCAGGAAGUGAGUUUGCGAUCGGAGCAGCUGCUGCAGCAGGGCCCAUGGCGGACACCCAGUACAUCCUCCCCAAUGACAUCGGCGUGUCUAGCCUGGACUGCCGCGAGGCCUUCCGCCUGCUGUUACCCACAGAGCGCCUCUAUGCCCACCACCUGUCACGGGCUGCCUGGUAUGGAGGCCUGGCCGUGCUGCUGCAGACCUCCCCUGAGGCCCCCUACAUCUAUGCUUUGCUCAGCCGCCUCUUCCGUGCGCAGGACCCCGACCAGCUGCGCCAGCAUGCCCUGGCUGAGGGCCUUACCGAAGAGGAAUAUCAGGCGUUCCUGGUCUACACUGCAGGUGUCUACUCCAACAUGGGCAACUACAAGUCCUUUGGUGACACCAAGUUUGUUCCCAACCUGCCCAAGGAGAAGCUGGAACGUGUGAUCCUGGGUAGUAAGGCCGCGGAGCAGCACCCGGAGGAAGUCGGGGGCCUCUGGCAGACCUGCGGGGAGCUCAUGUUCUCUCUGGAAUCGAGGCUUCGACACCUUGGGCUGGGGAAGGAGGGAAUCACCACCUAUUUCUCUGGGAACUGUACCAUGGAAGAUGCCAAACUAGCCCAAGACUUUCUGGACUCACAGAACCUCAGUGCCUACAACACACGGCUCUUCAAGGAGGUCGGCCAGGAUGGGAAGCCCUGCUACGAGGUGCGGUUGGCUUCUGUGCUGAGCACAGAGCCUAUUCUGGACUCCGAAAUGAAUUCCAAGCUGAAGAGCUAUGAAUUCCAGGGAAGCAAUUUCCGGGUGACCCGGGGAGACUAUGCACCCAUCCUCCAGAAGGUAGUGGAGCACCUGGAGAAAGCCAAGGCCUAUGCAGCCACCAGCCACCAGGAGCAGAUGCUGGCCCAGUACAUAGAAAGCUUCACCCACGGCUCUAUCGAGGCCCACAAGAAGGGCUCUCGCUUCUGGAUCCAGGACAAAGCCCCCAUCGUGGAGAGUUACAUCGGGUUCAUCGAGAGCUACCGAGACCCCUUUGGCUCCCGCGGAGAGUUUGAAGGCUUCGUGGCCAUGGUGAACAAGGCCAUGAGUGCCAAGUUUGAGUGGCUAGUGGCAAGUGCGGAGCAGCUGUUGAAGGAGCUUCCCUGGCCCCCAGCCUUCGAGAAGGACAAGUUCCUCACCCCCGACUUCACCUCCCUGGAUGUUCUCACCUUCGCCGGCUCCGGCAUCCCUGCCGGCAUCAACAUCCCCAACUAUGACGACGUAAGGCAGACGGAAGGCUUUAAGAACGUGUCGCUGGGGAACGUGCUGGCCGUGGCCUAUGCCACACAGCGGGAGAAGCUCACCUUCCUGGAGGAGGAGGACAAGGACCUGUACAUCCGCUGGAAGGGACCCUCCUUUGACGUGCAGGUGGGGCUGCACGAGCUGUUGGGCCACGGCAGCGGCAAGCUCUUUGUGCAGGAUGAGAAAGGAACAUUCAACUUUGACCAGGAGACAGUGAUCAACCCAGAGACAGGGGAGCAGAUUCAGAGCUGGUACCGGAGCGGGGAGACCUGGGACAGCAAGUUCAGCACUAUUGCCUCCAGCUAUGAAGAGUGCCGGGCAGAGAGCGUGGGCCUCUACCUCUGCCUCAACCCCCAAGUGCUGGAGAUCUUUGGCUUUGAGGGGGCUGAUGCAGAAGAUGUGGUCUACGUGAACUGGCUCAACAUGGUUCGGGCCGGGCUGCUUGCUCUGGAGUUCUACACCCCUGAGGCCUCCAGCUGGAGACAGCAGGCCCACAUGCAGGCCCGGUUUGUGAUCCUGAGGGUCUUGCUGGAGGCCGGCGAGGGACUUGUUACCGUCACUCCCACCACAGGCUCCGAUGGGCGCCCAGAUGCCCAGGUCCACCUUGACCGCAACAAGAUCCGGACCGUGGGCAAGCCCGCCCUGGAGAGGUUCCUGCGGAGACUCCAGGUCUGACAUCAAUAGACGUAAUUCCCACGUGAAUGAUGGGCUGGAACUGAGCAUCAGCCACUGCGUUUGCACACUUGGACAUUUGGACAUGGUGUGACUCUCCAGUUUGCCGGGUCCACUACCUACCUGCCUUACUCACUUGUUCAUGAUAACACCUGGGUCCCGUCAGCACCCCUGUUGCCAACUCUUUGGUUUAAGCUCCUGGGGUCUAACCUGUCGACCUGAUGAAUGUGUGUUCACAUUCUGGGUGUUAAAUAUCAUGCAGAAGAGAGAAAGGUGCUGAAGUCCACAGGGGACGUGGCUGGAGGCCGGGCCCUGUAUGAGGGGUAUGCGGCGGUCACCGAUGCGCCCCCCGAGUGCUUCCUCUCCCUCAGGGACACAGUGCUGCUCCGUAAGGAAGCCCGGAAG
Molecule: RNA transcript, 3311 nt
Organism: Lagenorhynchus albirostris (white-beaked dolphin)
Lineage: Eukaryota; Metazoa; Chordata; Mammalia; Artiodactyla; Delphinidae
Gene: DPP3
Gene name: dipeptidyl peptidase 3
Exons: 20
Source: RefSeq, a predicted model, not a curated record